AAUAACGUGUAAAUAAAUUAUUAUGAGAAAAAAAACUCCAUAUUCUAUAUUCUAGAAUUAUAAAUUCUAAUUAUCUAAAUUGGAUCACGUGAUGUUGUUUACUACUAAAUAAUAAUUUUAUAACUAUUAUUAUACUUUCAUGAUAAACAUUUCAUGAAAAUGAGUUUCAAAUAACAGAAUGUGAAAAAUGGUUAUGUUCAUUACACGUGUAUUAGAUAAAUGUGAACAUAAUUUAAAAUUUUUUUCUACGAUUAUGUAAUUAUUUCAAAAAAUAAUUUAUUUCAUAAAAUAAAUAAACUGAAAAAAUUGGGAAAAUACAAUAAUUGUUCAAGGGAACAAUAAAAU
Long non-coding RNA from Apis mellifera (honey bee), 345 nucleotides. RefSeq lists it as uncharacterized. The record is from RefSeq and is a predicted model, not a curated record. The transcript is spliced from 3 exons. Lineage: Eukaryota; Metazoa; Arthropoda; Insecta; Hymenoptera; Apidae.